UAGGGAAUCUUCCGCAAUGGACGCAAGUCUGACGGAGCAACGCCGCGUGAGUGAAGAAGGAUUUCGGUUCGUAAAACUCUGUUGUUAGAGAAGAACAGCGCAUAGAGUAACUGUUAUGCGUGUGACGGUAUCUAACCAGAAAGCCACGGCUAACUACGUGCCAGCAGCCGCGGUAAUACGUAGGUGCAAGCGUUGUCCGGAUUUAUUGGGCGUAAAGCGAGCGCAGGCGGUCAAUUAAGUCUGAUGUGAAAGCCCCCGGCUCAACCGGGGAGGGUCAUUGGAAACUGGUUGACUUGAGUGCAGAAGAGGAAAGUGGAAUUCCAUGUGUAGCGGUGAAAUGCGCAGAGAUAUGGAGGAACACCGGUGGCGAAAGCGGCUCUCUGGUCUGUAACUGACGCUGAGGCUCGAAAGCGUGGGGAGCGAACAGG
RNAcentral lists this ribosomal RNA (428 nucleotides) under Bacteroidota bacterium. Its description in RNAcentral is "Bacteroidetes bacterium partial 16S ribosomal RNA". It matches the Rfam family "Bacterial small subunit ribosomal RNA", at positions 355 to 776 of the family's 1533-position model. Lineage: Bacteria; Pseudomonadati; Bacteroidota. The record is from RNAcentral.